This 253-nucleotide ribosomal RNA is filed under the name uncultured bacterium. Its description in RNAcentral is "partial 16S ribosomal RNA". It matches the Rfam family "Bacterial small subunit ribosomal RNA", at positions 524 to 776 of the family's 1533-position model. The record is from RNAcentral.
UACGUAGGGUGCAAGCGUUAAUCGGAAUUACUGGGCGUAAAGCGUGCGCAGGCGGCUUUGCAAGACAGAUGUGAAAUCCCCGGGCUUAACCUGGGAACUGCAUUUGUGACUGCAUGGCUGGAGUGCGGCAGAGGGGGAUGGAAUUCCGCGUGUAGCAGUGAAAUGCGUAGAUAUGCGGAGGAACACCGAUGGCGAAGGCAAUCCCCUGGGCCUGCACUGACGCUCAUGCACAAAAGCGUGGGGAGCAAACAGG